RNAcentral lists this non-coding RNA (84 nucleotides) under Pontibacillus chungwhensis. RNAcentral's name for it is "c-di-GMP sequence". It matches the Rfam family "c-di-GMP-I riboswitch aptamer". From Rfam's summary of the family: GEMM was predicted in a large-scale screen for bacterial structured RNA regulatory elements. Genes associated with GEMM are involved in a diverse array of functions, including chemotaxis regulation, signal transduction, secretion and chitin. RNAcentral also lists the same sequence under 1 other name. Lineage: Bacteria; Bacillati; Bacillota; Bacilli; Caryophanales; Bacillaceae. The record is from RNAcentral.
UUCAGCAAAGGGCAAACUUAUUCGAAAGAUGAGGACGCAAAGUUACAGAUCUAACGCUCAAGCUAUGAUGGCUGAACUACCUGG